Molecule: ribosomal RNA, 242 nt
Filed under: uncultured Staphylococcus sp.
Lineage: Bacteria; Bacillati; Bacillota; Bacilli; Caryophanales; Staphylococcaceae
Description: partial 16S ribosomal RNA
Rfam family: Bacterial small subunit ribosomal RNA
Source: RNAcentral
CGGGACGGGUGAGUAACACGUGGAUAACCUACCUAUAAGACUUGGAUAACUUCGGGAAACCGGAGCUAAUACCGGAUAAUAUUUUGAACCGCAUGGUUCAAAAGUGAAAGACGGUCUUGCUGUCACUUAUAGAUGGAUCCGCGCUGCAUUAGCUAGUUGGUAAGGUAACGGCUUACCAAGGCAACGAUGCAUAGCCGACCUGAGAGGGUGAUCGGCCACACUGGAACUGAGACACGGUCCAG